This is a non-coding RNA of Paramuricea clavata, 506 nucleotides long. The record is from the annotation of a GenBank genome assembly. Lineage: Eukaryota; Metazoa; Cnidaria; Anthozoa; Malacalcyonacea; Plexauridae.
CAUCAACCUCGUCCCCAGGGCCUAUUGAGGAAGGAGGCGAAGCAGCAAAGGCCCUGGUAAAGGCUGGUCACGUGAUGCUUCAAAUUUUGAAUAUUUCAGAAAUUUAACUUUUCAAACCGGGGGUGCGGGCCGCUUUGAUUUUAUCAAACAUGGCCGUGCAAAGGGGCGAUAGAAUUACUGUAACCUUUUGCGACUGAAACCAGAGACUGAAACUAUGAUGAUAAACUUUUCAACUGACAGUGGAAAUACUGUAAAUAUAUAGUCUGCGAUGUUCUUCAAGAAAAUAUGGAAUAUAAUCAAUAGCAAUACUUGUGGAAGAUCAAGAUUCAAAGAGAAGAGUCUAAACACUGACUGACAACAGUAAAUAUUUCUUUUCAGCUUGGAAGCGUGUUUUAUAAUAUUUGUCGUUUGGGAGUCAAUAACAUACUGUCACUACUGUCAGUGAAGAAUUUGAUUUGGGACUUUGAUGUACCUUUAUGAAAAGAUUACUGCUGAAUACAAAUGUG